RNAcentral lists this ribosomal RNA (372 nucleotides) under uncultured bacterium. RNAcentral describes it as "bacterial SSU rRNA". It matches the Rfam family "Bacterial small subunit ribosomal RNA", at positions 524 to 898 of the family's 1533-position model. The record is from RNAcentral.
UACGUAGGAGGCAAGCGUUGUCCGGAUUUACUGGGUGUAAAGGGUCCGCAGGCGGACCCGUUAGUCGGUGGUGAAAUCCUCCAGCUUAACUGGAGAGCUGCCUCCGAUACUGCGGGUCUUGAAUCAAGGAGAGGGGGACGGAAUUCCAGGUGUAGCGGUGAAAUGCUUAGAUAUCUGGAAGAACACCGGUGGCGAAGGCUGUUCCCUGGCCUUAGAUUGACGCUCAUGGACGAAAGCGUGGGGAUCAAACAGGAUUAGAUACCCUGGUAGUCCACGCUGUAAACGAUGGAUACUCGGUGUUGGCCCGCAAGGGUCGGUGCCUAAGCAAACGCAGUAAGUAUCCCACCUGGGGAGUACGAUCGCAAGGUUGAA